Molecule: ribosomal RNA, 786 nt
Filed under: uncultured Gammaproteobacteria bacterium
Lineage: Bacteria; Pseudomonadati; Pseudomonadota; Gammaproteobacteria
Description: bacterial SSU rRNA
Rfam family: Bacterial small subunit ribosomal RNA
Source: RNAcentral
CUUAGGGAUCUGCCUUUAGGAGGGGGAUAACCAUUGGAAACGAUGGCUAAUACCGCAUAAUGUCUACGGACCAAAGGGGGCUUCGGCUCUCACCUAGAGAGGAACCUAAGUGAGAUUAGCUAGUUGGUGAGGUAAAGGCUCACCAAGGCGACGAUCUCUAGCUGUUCUGAGAGGAAGAUCAGCCACACUGGAACUGAGACACGGUCCAGACUCCUACGGGAGGCAGCAGUGGGGAAUAUUGCACAAUGGGGGAAACCCUGAUGCAGCCAUGCCGCGUGUGUGAAGAAGGCCUUCGGGUUGUAAAGCACUUUCAGUCGUGAGGAAAGGUUACCGGUUAAUACCCGUUAGCUGUGACGUUAGCGACAGAAGAAGCACCGGCUAACUCCGUGCCAGCAGCCGCGGUAAUACGGAGGGUGCAAGCGUUAAUCGGAAUUACUGGGCGUAAAGCGCACGCAGGCGGUUUGUUAAGCUAGAUGUGAAAGCCCCGGGCUCAACCUGGGACGGUCAUUUAGAACUGGCAGACUAGAGUUUUGGAGAGGGGAGUGGAAUUCCAGGUGUAGCGGUGAAAUGCAUAGAUAUCUGGAGGAACAUCAGUGGCGAAGGCGACUCUCUGGCCAAGAACUGACGCUCAUGUGCGAAAGUGUGGGUAGCGAACAGGAUUAGAUACCCUGGUAGUCCACACUGUAAACGCUGUCUACUAGCUGUUUGUGAAUUUAAUUCGUGAGUAGCGAAGCUAACGCGAUAAGUAGACCGCCUGGGGAGUACGGCCGCAAGGUUAAAACUCAA